UGAGCCGACCAGUAUAAAUGGUGGUGGUGCGGCGACAUGAACUGCUGCGGACACCGGCGCAAGGAAUCGAUGCGAGCAAACUAUUGCAGGCGGCGAAGCCAGGUGUGCCGAUGAUGUUCCGAUUGUUAUAAGCUGUCAUUACUCUCUAGCGCCUAUCUGCCUGUGUCCAAGCAUUAUGAACCGUGAUCAACCGUACUCCAGUGGCGGCUGCUGCCUAUCGCACGAGCCCUGUCUUGUAAGUGAUCUGCGGCGCUGCUGCUAUCAUCAAUCACCUCGGCUGCCUUUCUCGGUGGAACCUGCCCUUCCUCAUCUUUUGCUCGCAACUGGAAUGACAUCGCCUGCCAACAUCCCCUGCCUUCGGACGAAGAAACCAUCUCAGCCUCAAGCCCGCCACUUCUAACCCCAAUCGUGCUUUCCGCCUGGCCACAGCGAGCAACUUACUGCGUGGGAGACUCGCUACUUGUACUUCAGCAGUCUCCGUCUUGGGACCACUUGGGGCACGCCACCGCACCGAGCAUGGUCAUGACGACGACUUUGUUUGCGCAGCUUUUCACCGGCUGGGGUGUUUUCCUGGAGUAUACUAUGAAGGCCUUCCUGGAUGCAUCACCGCUCGCAUGUCAUCACGCCCUGAUGUUCCUGCAUGCGUGCGAUGACGGCCCUAUCUCCGCCCUGGAAGAUAGUCAUGGUCUGUUCGCGGCAUUCGACAAGAUACUGACCUCUGCCAUUGCUGACGUCAACCGAGAUGGCCCGCUAAUCCAGUCACGAAGCUGGCUCCAUUCAGUAUAAAAGCCAAGAUGAAGCUUCAUCGCUUCAGUGGGCAAGGCAGCAGCAAUACUGGCCAAAUGUUCAAACGUUGUCUCUUCUUCAUGCAGGUAUGUUAACUUAAGGACGCUUGUUGUAUUCGAUCUGACAACCGCUUCUUAUUGCUGACGCCUUGCCCACACAAAUGCCUUUCUACAUGUAUUUCUGUAUGUGCUGAUCUUGUUUACUGCAUGAGCAGCCUCCUACUGAGUCCGGGCCCUACAAAACGCUCCGUCACUCAAACGGAUGAUUCUGGCUCUAUAGUAUCCAAAAUGUUCGCUCAGCUUCUUGCCGGGCAAACUAAGAUAACAAAGGAUAUAGCAGACAUGCGAAAAUCUAUCGACGCUCGAUUUAAGGCCAUUGAAAAAUGCAUAGUUGAUCUUGAACUGCAGGCACCCACCUUUAGCACAGCACACUACGAUAACCUAAAGAGCCAAAUUCAGAAAAUGUCAUCCACCCUUGACACUUUCUUCCCAAAAUGAUGAUUUAGCAAAUCGCUCGUGCCACAACAACCUUAUUCUUUAUGGUCCAACAGAAUCUGAGCAUGACACUAAUGAAUCGCUGCAAUCGCAAGUUAAAAAUUUUUUUACUGACGUAUUAAAGCUUGAUUUUCCUCAAAUUGA
Dermacentor albipictus is the source of this 1424-nucleotide RNA transcript. RefSeq lists it as uncharacterized. Lineage: Eukaryota; Metazoa; Arthropoda; Arachnida; Ixodida; Ixodidae. The record is from RefSeq and is a predicted model, not a curated record.